Molecule: long non-coding RNA, 5009 nt
Filed under: Mytilus galloprovincialis (Mediterranean mussel)
Lineage: Eukaryota; Metazoa; Mollusca; Bivalvia; Mytilida; Mytilidae
Source: RNAcentral
CGAUAUUCCUUUAGAUUGGUGGAUUUCUUGUCGUGGGCUGAUAGUCCCAUACCCGUAGCCAGGGGGUUCGGGGGGUUCGGACGACCCCCCCCCCCUUGAAAUCAAAUAAGCACUGUUUAAAUCAGCGUUUUGUUCAAAUUGUGACUGUUAACAGUCGAGUUCAUGAGUCUAACGAACCCCCCCCCCUUGAAAAUUCCUGGCUACGGGCCUGAGUCCCGUAGGUAAACGAAUUGAUUGCCAUGAUUUGAUUCGAUAUUACUUUAGAUUAUCAAUAGAUUGCAUGUCCAUGACAAAAAAUGUUGUCCAAAUCCGACUUUUAAAAAGUUUUACGAAUCGAUUGUUGUGGUUUGAUAUCCCGUUAGUGUAUGGAUUGAUUCUUUUUAACAGAUGGCAGCACCAAUUACCACACAACCGCAACCCCAGCCUGGGAGCUUGCUUGUCUCAACAGUUCAUGGUCAUCGAAACUGGUCCACUGGUAUUUUUGACUGUUUCACAGAUAUCAAAACAUGUAAGAAAAACGUUAAUGUACAAAGUCUUAUAACAAAUUCGUAUAUGUAUUUUAAAAUAUUUUUUUGAAAGUACAAUGAUAAAUUGAAGAAUUGCAAAAAUAUUUUUUGUCUUGCGGAUAAUUUCAAUAUCAACAAAUGUUUCACUAUGUUUCACUAUUUAAUGACAGCCUUGUAACUGAUGUAUGCUCGAGACCAAAAGUGGCGAAAGCAAGAUACUAUAAUAAUGAUAACAUCUGAAAAGAUAAAAUCAAUACAAUCUUGAUUUUUGUAUAAAUACACUGUACCAUAAGAUAAUGUUUUGUUUUUAUAGUGAUCAAUAUUAUAACUCAAUGUUUACUGCUGAUACAGCAUGUUUUUGACAUUUUGACCUAUUAUGUCAGUUUGUCUUGUUAACACAUUAUUGUUAUCAAUUUAAUAAAAAUGUAUGGACUGUCAUACAAUUGAGAGGUAGUGCUAGCUAGCUACAAAACGAGAUUUACUUUUCUAUUUUCUACAUGAGAAAAUGCUUGUACCAAGUCAGGAUGACAGUUGUUGUCCAUUCGUUUUUUAUGUGUUUUGUCAUUUUAUUUUGCCAUGUGAUUAGGGACUUUCCGAUUUUAUUUUACUCGGAGUUCAGUAUUUUUGCGGUUUUACUUUUUUUCCAUUUGUUUGAUGUGUUUGAACUUUUGAUUUUCCCUUUGAUAAGGGACUUUGCGAUUUGAAUGUUCCUUGGGGUUUUUGUAUUUUUGUACGUGUUUCCAAAAUAUAUUUUGUAUUUUUUCAUUGUUUUGACAUAAUGACUCGACGUUGCUAUAUAAAGAAAGGAUAGUGACACCAUGUUACUAAAAUAGUAACAUAGCCUUAAUAUCAUUUUCAAAAACAGUAACAUAGCGUUAAUAUCAUUUCCAAAAAUAGUAGCAUAGCGUUAAUAUCAUUUCCAAAACUAGUUACAGGCUUAAUGAAAAAUACUUCUUCUAGUGAAAAGUAAAAACACAAAAAUACUGAACUCCGAGGAAAAUUCAAAAAGGAAAAUCAAAAAUCAAAAGGCAAAAUCAAAAGUCCAAGCACAUCAAACGAAUGGAUAACAACUGUCAUAUUCCUGACUUGGUACAGGCAUUUUCUAAUGUAGAAAAUGGUGGAUUGAUUCGGUAUUCAUUCAUCUGUGUUCUUGAUAAAGCGUUAUAUACACAUUUAAUUCAUAUUUUUCUUUCCAUAUUAUAAAUACAACAUUAUGAAACACACAUUUAGUAUGUGAUAGGCAUAACACGUAACGAUACGUAUUAACAUACUUUAAAAUCAUGUUCAACACAGAAAACAAUUGUCCGAAUAUAUACAUAAACCGAAACCGAAACACAAACAUGCAUCGAAGUAAGGAAUUUCUUUUGUCAUGCAAAUAAGCAGAUCUAGGGAAACAUAGAUAUACAGCAGAAUUGUCAGAAUUGUUUUUUUAGGUUGCAGGUAUUAUAUCGUGGUUCCAUUUGCACUGCAUGACAUGUAAUCUAUCUGUCAGAAUUGUUUUAUUAUAUUGCAGGUAUUAUAUCGUGGUUCUGUUUGCCAUGCAUGACAUGUAAUAUAUCAGGCAGAUUUGUUUAUUGUGUUUGAAUGCCAUUUUAUUAUUAUUUUGCAGGUAUUAUAUCGUGGUUCUGUUUGCCAUGCAUGACAUGUAAUCUUUCAGGCAGACAAGGUGAUUGUGCUUGUAUGCCAUUUUGUGUGCCUGGUGGGUCUAUUACCAUGAGAUCUAGAAUCAGAACACUUGGUGGAAUUCAGGUGAGAAUUUGCAGUUGCCUGUCAUGUUUAAUUGUUUAAUUCUGAUAUUUAAUGGGAUAGAAAUUCAUUGGACGAUACAUUCUGGAUUAUUUUCACUUGAAGAACUAUAAAAUCAUGGUUUAAAACAAAGUUAUAUAUAUAUUGAAAUAUUUUAAAGUAUUGUUUAAUUUUUCUUGAUUCUCAUUGGUUUAUUUGGUCACGUGUUUCCAAAAUAUAUUUUGUAUUUUUUCAUUGUUUUGACAUAAUGACUCGACGUUGCUAUAUAAAGAAAGGAUAGUGACACCAUGUUACUAAAAUAGUAACAUAGCCUUAAUAUCAUUUUCAAAAAACAGUAACAUAGCGUUAAUAUCAUUUCCAAAAAUAGUAGCAUAGCGUUAAUAUCAUUUCCAAAACUAGUUACAACGAGUCAAUAUCGUUUAAAAACCCACGCUAUGGUCUACAUGUGCAAUAAAUGUUAGGGGCAGUGCAACAACUCCAAGAUCCUAUCUUUCAAACAAUUUCAAUCUAACUGGACUUGUUUGCUUUGGAUAGCUGUCCAUAUCAAAGAAAAUCCUUCACUAUUAGCCAAAAAGUCGGCAUGUUUCUUUCUGUAAAAAGUUAUCAAAAAUCAUGAACGACUGUACACCAACUGUCAUAUAUCCGACUUGGUACAGGUAACAAACAUAAAAAAGUCAUAUAGACAAAGCAAGUUAGCAAAAUUGAAAGAUAAAAAUGUAAAAAUUAUCACAGAAAAAUGACUGGAUGUAUAAUUACAGAGCCAUGUCUUACUCGAACUGUUUUUGAGGUAUAUUAUUAUCGUAAACUGAUACUACAUCUAAUAUUAAAAAAUGAUAUGUUAUGAUAUUUUUAUCAUAUGAUUCAACGAUUGCCUGUGAAUAAUGUAAAUUUGCAUUUUUUUUUUUGGCAGUGAAUUACUUACUAGUUAUUCCAUCAUUACAAUACUUUUUUUUUUAAUUUCAGGGUACUGUGUGCAAUGACUGUCUCGUGAUGCAGUUUUGUGGUCCAUGUGCAAUUUGUCAGAUGUCUAGAGAACUUGACAAUAUGGGCAUUCCAUAAUCAAGACAGACAAAUUCAAAUGAUAACAUUGAAACAACAUAUAGACAAAAAUCGUAUUUUGAUAACAUUUUAGACUCAUAAGAGCUUAUACUGCUCUUCAAACAUGUUUAUUAUAAAUCUUAUUCAAUCUUUUUGUGAUUGAAGGCAUAUAUAUUUCAUUUUUAAUAUUUUGUUUUGUUUUGACUUUUCUAUUUUCUUGUAUUAUUCGUCAACAUUAAAAAUAUAUUCAUUGGACCGACCUAUUAAAAAGUUUGUAUUUCACAAUUCAUCGAUAGGAACAACUCGAUAAUUUAUAAUGUGUCCCUAAAAAAUUCUUAAGUGCCAUUUAAAAUUUAGCAUGUUCUGUCUGUGACCUACAAUGUGUUACUGAGGUAAAUCAUUCAGUCCGAAAACGCCUCAAUGGACAGGAGAGAUAGAAAGUCGUUUCUUCAAUGGACACAAUACUAAAGUGGUCAUGCCACAAUCUCAAUGACAAGUUUAUGCCACAAUCUCAAUGACAAGUUUUUCAAUAAACAGAGCUCCGAUUAUGCAAUAAUGCUCCAAAAAGACCCCUGCACAGAAUAGAAAGAAGCAGAAUUACCGAUUGAAAUUAUACCUAGUGGUGGGUUCGAGAGAGAAUUUUUAUAGGAACUUGAUGUUCCUUAUCCAUAUGGCAUUCACAUAAAAGAGCUAAUAUCUUAAGAUAACUUUGAUAUUGUUGGAUUUUUUUUUAUCAUGUUUUGGUUGUAUAAUUACAUUUUAAUAUUCAUGGAUGCCUGGAUCCACACAAACAAACAAACAAACACACAAACAAACACACACACACACACAUUUAUUCGAUCAUUUUUUUAUUUUUUUUCUAAGAGGUCAAAGUCUGUAGCAUUAAAAUGCAUUGAUUGAUUGAUGUUUAACCAUUUUCAGCACUAUUGGCUAUUCCAUGGCGGUCAGUUUUUAUUGCAAGAGAAUGCUAGAGUGCCCGACCUUCUUAGGAAACUGACAAUCCUAAUCAAUUAAGUUUAAAGUCGAGCUCACCCACUACGAGCGGAAUUCGAAACUGAAAACCUCAGUCUUGACAUAUUUGGGAUACAAUAAUUUGAAUGUUAACACAACUCAGUCCCUGAAUACAACAUAACCUCCAGUGAAUAUACCUUCCCUUUAUAACGUUAUAUGUAAGAGGGGACAUAAACUUUUUCUCAUGUCCCAAUUUAUGUAUUUUUAUAUUAUUCCUUCCGCUUUGUUCAGAUUGGAAAAGUGAACUGAGGAUGAUGAAAAUGUUCUCAUUUAAGUCUUAUUUAAUGAUGCCCAGUCAACAAGAAGAAUGCUGUUGAUCUUCAAAAAAUCAAUUAAUAGUAUGUAAAGUUUUAAAAGUUUUCAAAUUAUUUUUAUUCUCCUGAUUUUAAUGAGAAGAAGUUUGAACGAUAAUUAUCAGCAAUAAAAGCGAACAAAUCGUCCGAUUAGUCAAUAUAUCGUAUUUACUUUGAUUAUUACGUAUACUGUACUGCUAAAAAUUGUUUUAUUUUGUAAAUUUUUUUUCAACAACUAAUGAUACAUCUUCGGAUAAUUAAGGCCAUGAUGUAUUUUUGACAUAUGUUUUCCAGUUCUUGCUGUCAGAACUUUUCCGCUCCGAGUAUAGAUUCAAUAUAAAUUUUGAAAUCAUGAGCAAAACUACUGGUAGGGCGGACUCUGUAGCUAUCAAGUAUAGAAAGUAAUCAUGCUUGU